UGCGAAUGGAGAGGGAGAGAUCGUGAGGGGGAGAGAGAGAGGGAGAGAGAAAGGAGGGAAAAAUCAGAUUUUUAAUAGGGAAAUAGCUCAAUAUACCACCUAUUUUACAAUUUUUUGUCAAAAUACCACCCCUCCCCAAAAUUUUUAAAACUACCACUUAUAAAUACAUCUUUAUUGUAAACUGAUUGCACCCAUAUAACUUUUUCAGAAAUUGGGUUCUCUCUCAACUCUCUUGGCUCCGUCUCUCUCUUCAGCCUGUCUCUCUCUGUCGUGUAACUCUCUCUCUCUCUCUCUCUCUCUCUCUCUACGACGCAGUCAUCUUCCUCCCCCAGCCAUCCAAGAUUAACUCCACGGUUCACAUCCACGAGGCACUUGAUAGGAUGCUGCAGUUUAAUAAUACUAAAGCUCAUAAGAGAAAGCAAAUCAAGUCAAUGUUUUCUUUGUAUCCAUGAAUUAGAUUACUAAAUGUUGCUGUAAGUUAUUGUGUUCAGUUUAAUUAUUUUUUUAUUUUUUUUUACAUGUAGUAUUUUAUUUUAUUUUUCGCAGAGUUUGUUUAUCAUUCCAUUCUUGAGAUGUUAUAUGCGUACUUGCAGGCUUGAGAAAUUUUUCCAUGUUUGGAGGUCAAAACAACUUGUAUAGUCAACCAUGCAUAAUUUCAGAGUUGAAGCUGAUGGUGUCUUUUGAGCCAAUGGAUUUUCCUAGAUAUCAGAAGUGCAAUGGCAAAUUAAUAAAUUGAUCUAGACAAAGAGAGACAUGAAGUGAUACACAUCGACCAUUUUCUGUGAGCUGAUUCGAUAAAUAGAAAUUGUCUGGUGCUGUUUGUCUUAAGAAGGGUGGUUUAACUUUGCCUUGUUUGCUUUUGGUCUGUAACAUUAUUUCUCAUUGGCUGUUCUUGGAAAUAUUUUUUUUCUUUCUUUCCUUGUUUAUCCCUUAGAACUUGCCUUUUGCCUUAUGGAAUUGUGGAUGUUUAUUUGUAUGUAGUAAUGAUGGAUUUGUGUGCAGUGAGAAUUUCUAAUUUCAAAUCAUGUGGUUGACUUUUGCAUA
This is a long non-coding RNA of Prunus persica (peach), 1044 nucleotides long. RefSeq lists it as uncharacterized. Lineage: Eukaryota; Viridiplantae; Streptophyta; Magnoliopsida; Rosales; Rosaceae. The transcript has 2 exons. The record is from RefSeq and is a predicted model, not a curated record.